UUGAACGCUGGCGGCAGGCCUAACCCAUGCAAGUCGAGCGGAUGAAGGGAGCUUGCUCCUGGAUUCAGCGGCGGACGGGUGAGUAAUGCCUAGGAAUCUGCCUGGUAGUGGGGGAUAACGUCCGGAAACGGGCGCUAAUACCGCAUACGUCCUGAGGGAGAAAGUGGGGGAUCUUCGGACCUCACGCUAUCAGAUGAGCCUAGGUCGGAUUAGCUAGUUGGUGGGGUAAAGGCCUACCAAGGCGUCGAUCCGUAACUGGUCUGAGAGGAUGAUCAGUCACACUGGAACUGAGACACGGUCCAGACUCCUACGGGAGGCAGCAGUGGGGAAUAUUGGACAAUGGGCGAAAGCCUGAUCCAGCCAUGCCGCGUGUGUGAAGAAGGUCUUCGGAUUGUAAAGCACUUUAAGUUGGGAGGAAGGGCAGUAAGUUAAUACCUUGCUGUUUUGACGUUACCAACAGAAUAAGCACCGGCUAACUUCGUG
RNAcentral lists this ribosomal RNA (483 nucleotides) under uncultured bacterium. Its description in RNAcentral is "partial 16S ribosomal RNA". It matches the Rfam family "Bacterial small subunit ribosomal RNA", at positions 30 to 507 of the family's 1533-position model. The record is from RNAcentral.